Molecule: long non-coding RNA, 1212 nt
Organism: Hypanus sabinus (Atlantic stingray)
Lineage: Eukaryota; Metazoa; Chordata; Chondrichthyes; Myliobatiformes; Dasyatidae
Exons: 3
Source: RefSeq, a predicted model, not a curated record
GCCGUUCAAUGCUGCGCUCUGCCUGCUGUCAGGCUCUGGCGAGCCACGUGGUCUAAAGCCGCAUGGAGAGCCCACCAUCAUCAAAAACUCACCAUCACAACCGUGAAGAACGGUGGUGGUGCAUCAUGCUGUGGGGAUGCUUCACUGCAGCAGGCCCUGGAAGGCUUGUGAAAGUAGAGGGCAAAACAUAUGCAGAGAAAUACAGGGAAAUCUCGGAGGAAAACCUGAUGCAAUCUUCAAGAGAACUGUGACUUGAGAGAAGAUCUGUUUUCCAGCAAGACAAUGACUCCAAGCAUAAAGCCAAAGUUACACAGAUCACAGGAUAUUCCCAGAGACAGUUGUGCAACAAACUAGCCUAUUCCUUUUAUAUUGCCACUGGAUUUUCUUAAAAAAAAAGUGAAACUCACUGUGGGAAAUGUAGUGGAGACAGAAAAGCCCAUCAUUAUUUAAAAGAGUGCUUCAACAAUGUACAGGGCUAAGGAACAAGAGAUGGUGAAGAAAUAACCUAAACUGUUGCAGUUUUCACUGACAUGCACACAGAGGACCAAAUGCCUGCCUUUGCACCAGAAUUAUUUUGAUUCUGUGAUAGAGAUAAUAUUGCACGUGAAGGGAGAGACGUCAUUUCAGUUUCUUCUCCGAUUGCCGUGAUAGAUCAUCACACAACUUGUACUUCAUCACAAUUCAUGCUUAAUCAUUUCAGGAACUGGAAUAGUAUCUCUAUAUGCUACAAUACUCAAAGUGGGAUUAGUAGGGUGUGAUACUAUUGUUAGCUAAAGCUGAUUUCACCUGCCUGUAAAUUGAUGAAAAUAUAUUUCUGUAAUUACUAAUCAGAAUUCAUUACUAAUUAAACCAGAAGGCAAAUAGCUUGAACUGAAAUGAUAGCCUCAAAUUGUUACCAAUGUAUUUUUCCACAUUUUAUUCUUCUAACGUACCUGCCAAAUGAACACACUGAGUAAAGUACAAUACUGUGUAUUUUGUUGAUCUGUGCAUUUUUGAGUAUUGGAAUUUGAAGAUGAUUGUAUUUAACUUUUCGUGCUAUCUUUAUGUCAUUGCAGCUCUGAAGUUCAAUCAUUAAAUAUUUAAAUACAUGCCUAAAAAUAAUAAUUGGAUUUAUGAUUAUUAUUGCCGUUAUUUUAUUUUUAUUCAACUGAUUAUUGAAAAAUAAAUGUUAAGCUCAGCCUGACACAAAUAUAAAUGAGAAACAAAGGGUAA